AUCUACCCUAACUUAAGAAAUUUAAAUGGCAACCCCUAAUUUUUCUUACUCAAUUCAAUAGAGAAUUCAAUUUUAAAAAGAAUUAUCGUGAAAAUAACUUUUUAUGUUAAACCAUUUUUAAAUAAUCGUCGUUUUAAGGGUAGAAAAGUGUCCUAUUUAAAGGCAGAUUUUGCUAUGAUAAUUUUUAUAAAUUUAAUUUUAUAAAGAUGAUAUCAAUUGCAAAUUAUCUGCAAAUUUAUUAAGAAAAAAAAUUUUUUAUUAAAGCAUGUAAAAAGAACUUAAAUGGAUAUUUUAAAAAUCGCUCUCUUAUACGCGAUCUUUAAUUGGGGUAUUUGUAGAAUAAAGCAUUAUCGAUCCAUGCAUAUCAUAAUGUUUCCGGACUUUUUCCUAUAGGAGUUUUAGCAUUGGUAUCUAACAUACAUAACUAGUGUACACUUUUAUCUGUGACCGUUGAAACGUUUUCAAUUGUUAUAGUCGCUUUAUCGACAAUUAGUGUCAUUUAAAGUACAUCAUGCUGUCAAACAUAUUACAGGUAGUAGUUUGUAAGUUUACACAAAAAUUAUCAGUGAUCAUUAUAACAUUAUUAUUAUUCAAUACGCAACAACGUUUCCAAACUUAUGCCUAUAGGAGUUGUAAUAUACUUUUCAACUACCAACUAAUAAUUAUUUUUAAUUCAGGUUUAAGUAACUUGUCCACAUAUUUUCUAAUAUUACAAUUGAUCUAUCGACAGUUAUGGGAUUAUUUUUAAUAUUAGUGCCUAAAUUCAAUUCUAAUUUAUCUGUAAGUGAUACAGCCCUUAUCAAAGGUAAUGCAACAGUUUGUCGUCGUUUUUAAACCGAUUACUAUUUACCAACUGAUUGUUGUAAUAUUAUUAUGUUAUCAUAAAAUACAGUG
Long non-coding RNA from Daktulosphaira vitifoliae (grape phylloxera), 894 nucleotides. RefSeq lists it as uncharacterized. The transcript is spliced from 3 exons. Lineage: Eukaryota; Metazoa; Arthropoda; Insecta; Hemiptera; Phylloxeridae. The record is from RefSeq and is a predicted model, not a curated record.